Long non-coding RNA from Centropristis striata (black sea bass), 433 nucleotides. RefSeq lists it as uncharacterized. The transcript is spliced from 3 exons. The record is from RefSeq and is a predicted model, not a curated record. NCBI's taxonomy places the organism in Eukaryota, Metazoa, Chordata, Actinopteri, Perciformes, Serranidae.
AAGAAGCUGCAAGACGAGUAAAUGCCGGACAAGCUUUUAGUAAUUGGUGAGAGCUUCACGAAAUAAAAGGCUGCAAGACAAACAGAGCUGCAGAGCUGGCCAUCUUGCUGUUGGACUAUGAACCAUACUGGUUUGCAGAGCAGAUUUUCAACAUCAAAAUCUCUGGGUUUUUCUCUUCAGCUGCAGGAUUUAUGCCUCACUGUGGCCUUCAGAAAUAAAGUAAAGACCACUUUAAUGACUUGCCGGAGCAAUGCAACAUUCCACCUACUGCUCUCGACUGCACCUUAGUGAUUUACCUGCCAACAGGACUUCAUGUACAUCCAAGAGGUGAGAGCAGAACAGAGCAAGGUGUGUAACUUGCUGCAGCCACCCAUCAUGUAGAAAUCCUUAUGGUUGUUCACUUGCUCUGCCAAUUUAAAUGAAAUAAAAGCCU